UACGUAGGUCCCGAGCGUUGUCCGGAUUUAUUGGGCGUAAAGCGAGCGCAGGUGGUUUAUUAAGUCUGGUGUAAAAGGCAGUGGCUCAACCAUUGUAUGCAUUGGAAACUGGUAGACUUGAGUGCAGGAGGGGAGAGUGGAAUUCCAUGUGUAGCGGUGAAAUGCGUAGAUAUAUGGAGGAACACCGGUGGCGAAAGCGGCUCUCUGGCCUGUAACUGACACUGAGGCUCGAAAGCAUGGGGAGCAAACAGG
RNAcentral lists this ribosomal RNA (252 nucleotides) under uncultured bacterium. RNAcentral's name for it is "partial 16S ribosomal RNA". It matches the Rfam family "Bacterial small subunit ribosomal RNA", at positions 524 to 776 of the family's 1533-position model. The record is from RNAcentral.